GACGAACGCUGGCGGCGUGCUUAACACAUGCAAGUCGAACGGAAAGGCCCUGCUUUUGUGGGGUGCUCGAGUGGCGAACGGGUGAGUAACACGUGAGUAACCUGCCCUUGACUUUGGGAUAACUUCAGGAAACUGGGGCUAAUACCGGAUAGGAGCUCCUGCUGCAUGGUGGGGGUUGGAAAGUUUCGGCGGUUGGGGUUGGACUCGCGGCUUAUCAGCUUGUUGGUGGGGUAGUGGCUUACCAAGGCUUUGACGGGUAGCCGGCCUGAGAGGGUGACCGGCCACAUUGGGACUGAGAUACGGCCCAGACGCCUACGGGAGGCAGGAGUGGGGAAUAGUGCACAAUGGGCGGAAGCCGGAUGCAGCAACGCCGCGUGCGGGAUGACGGCCUUCGGGUUGUAAACCGCUUUCGCCUGUGACGAAGCGUGAGUGACGGUAAUGGGUAAAGAAGCACCGGCUAACUACGU
RNAcentral lists this ribosomal RNA (467 nucleotides) under uncultured bacterium. RNAcentral describes it as "partial 16S ribosomal RNA". It matches the Rfam family "Bacterial small subunit ribosomal RNA", at positions 28 to 506 of the family's 1533-position model. The record is from RNAcentral.